Molecule: ribosomal RNA, 253 nt
Filed under: uncultured bacterium
Lineage: Bacteria
Description: partial 16S ribosomal RNA
Rfam family: Bacterial small subunit ribosomal RNA
Source: RNAcentral
UACAGAGGGGGCAAGCGUUGUUCGGAAUUACUGGGCGUAAAGGGCGCGUAGGCGGCCUUCUAAGUCGAACGUGAAAUCCCCGGGCUCAACCCGGGAACUGCGUCCGAUACUGGAAGGCUUGAAUCCGGGAGGGGGAUGCGGAAUUCCAGGUGUAGCGGUGAAAUGCGUAGAUAUCUGGAGGAACACCGGUGGCGAAGGCGGCAUCCUGGACCGGUAUUGACGCUGAGGCGCGAAAGCCAGGGGAGCAAACGGG